GAUAAAAUUUUUAUGUUUUAAGAAAUUUAUUAUAAAUUUAUUUUACAUACAAAUUUUAGUAUGAAAAAUUAAUUAUUUAAAUAAUGAUUAUAAAUAACGUAGUAAUUAAUAUUAAAAAUUUAAGAAAUUAAGAUUUAGUAAUAUUUAAAUUAAUAACUCAUUUUGUGCCAGCAGUUGCGGUUAUACAAAAAUUAAAUUAAAUUUUAAAAGUAAAUAAUAAAUAAAUAAAUAUUUAAAAUAAAUAUUAAAUUAUUAAGUGAAAUUUUAAUUUAAUUAAAUUUUAUAAUAAAUUUAUGAUUUAAUAAAUUUAAUAAUAAACUAGGAUUAGAUACCCUAUUAUUAUAAAUUUAAUUAUAAAUACUAAAAUAGUAGAUAAAAUAUUGAAACUUAAAUAAUAUGGCGGUAUUUUAGUUCAUUUAGAGGAAUCUGUUUAAUAAUUGAUAAUACACGAGUAAAUUUACUUAAUUUAAGAUUUUAUAUAUCGUUGUUAAAAAAAUAUUUUUUUAUAAAAAUAAUAUUUAAAAAUUUUAAAUAAAAAUUAAUUCAAAUCAAGAUGUAGAAUAUAAUUAAGAAUAAAUGGAUUACAAUAAAUUAAUUUAUAUGAAUAAUUAAUUGAAAAAUUAAUUUAAAGGUGGAUUUAAAUGUAAUUUUAUUUAAUUUAAUAAAAUGAUUAAAAAUUGAAAUAUGUACAUAUUGCCCGUCACUUUCAUUUAAAAAUUGGAAUAAGUCGUAACAAAGUAGAGGUACUGGAAAGUGUUUCUAGAAUGAU
This 769-nucleotide non-coding RNA is filed under the name Elymnias malelas. The record is from RNAcentral. Lineage: Eukaryota; Metazoa; Arthropoda; Insecta; Lepidoptera; Nymphalidae.